GGCAGCUGCAACUACAACAUCUGAUAAAAUUCUUCUAUUAUUUAUGCUUUGAUGGAUGUCCAUAUUAAACCAUAUUAAAGGUAUUGUGGUACUCAAAUCCAAGAACCAUAUGCUAAGGUAAUUUUCACUUAAUAAUAAUUUUGUGAAAUUAAUUGGAUAAAUAUAAGCACCAGCUUGUGUGGGAUAACAGGAAGAAAAUUUGAAAUACAUGGACAAAAUAAAUUUGACAAGUAAUGAGCUUGAGUAAACAUAAAUCUAAAAUUCUUUACGCGGCCAGCAGAUGAGGUUAACCUUGUAGAAUGGCUAAAGAUGAUGGUUGGUAACAGGCGCUCAGAAGAGGUUGGAGACCCAAAUAUAGAUAUGAAACCAGCUACACGUAAUCUGAAGAGAGCAAGUUGAGGAUGAAGAGAAACCUAUCUGGCAAAAUACAGCAGAAGCUUCAACUUAUAGCGAUGUGGAUUCAAAUAUAGAUAUGAAAGAGAAACCUAUCUGGCAAAAUACAGCAGAAGCUUCAACUUAUAGCGAUGUGGAUUCAAAUAUAGAUAUGAAACCAGCUACACGUAAUCUGAAGAGAGCAAGUUGAGGAUGAAGAGAAACCUAUCUGGCAAAAUACAGCAGAAGCUUCAGCUUCUAGAGAUGUGGAACAGGCAAAUGCUAGUGAGCAGAGAAAAAGGGGCAGGAAAUAAGAAGUCUGAUUUUGCAUUUUCUCUCAUUGGUUUAUGGAAUUUAUUCUUUUUAUAGGAUUUUCCACAAAAUGAUUGGUAAUAUAUAUUCUUUGGAUCCUAUUGUACAUCACAUGGGAGCUUCUCAAAAGUUUGCUGCACUGUAGGGAUUUUGCAUAAGGGACACUUUCAAGAAUUUAAAGGGUUCCCCUUCAGUUUGGAAGAUUGGGAACACCGAAUUCCAUGGAAAACUGUUGGAUUAGUGUAUCAGACAGUUCAAAGAAGAGUAUUCCUCAAGGCCUUAGUAUAUUGUCUAUUGUCUCUCUUCUGCUGCCGAUAUUUGUUCUGGGUAUGACUGCUACGCAAACUUAUUUUGGAUCGAAAGCUAACUGAAGUUAUGUUGCCGAUAUUUGUUCUGGGUAUGACUGCUACGCAAACUUAUUUUGGAUCGAAAGCUAACUGAAGUUAUGUCAUCUUAGAUAUAAAUCACAGAAUUUGUUUUUCAGAAUAUUACAAGAUGCUUAGCAUAAAAAUUUGUAUUGUCUGGAUCGAAAGCUAACUGAAGUUAUGUCAUCUUAGAUAUAAAUCACAGAAUUUGUUUUUCAGAAUA
Molecule: long non-coding RNA, 1272 nt
Organism: Cryptomeria japonica (Japanese cedar)
Lineage: Eukaryota; Viridiplantae; Streptophyta; Pinopsida; Cupressales; Cupressaceae
Exons: 2
Source: RefSeq, a predicted model, not a curated record